This 440-nucleotide ribosomal RNA is filed under the name uncultured bacterium. RNAcentral describes it as "bacterial SSU rRNA". It matches the Rfam family "Bacterial small subunit ribosomal RNA", at positions 338 to 795 of the family's 1533-position model. The record is from RNAcentral.
CCUANGGGUGGCAGCAGUGGGGAAUAUUGCACAAUGGGCGCAAGCCUGAUGCAGCGACGCCGCGUGCGGGAUGAAGGCCUUAGGGUUGUAAACCGCUUUCAGCAGGGACGAAAUUGACGGUACCUGCAGAAGAAGCCCCGGCCAACUACGUGCCAGCAGCCGCGGUAAUACGUAGGGGGCGAGCGUUGUCCGGAUUUAUUGGGCGUAAAGAGCUCGUAGGCGGUCCGGUAAGUCGGAUGUGAAAUCUCCACGCUUAACGUGGAGGGGUCAUUCGAAACUGCCAUGGCUAGAGUUUGGUAGGGAGUGCGGAACUCCCGGUGUAGCGGUGAAAUGCGCAGAUAGCGGGAAGAACACCCGCAGCGAAGGCGGCACUCUGGGCCAAUACUGACGCUGAGGAGCGAAAGCGUGGGGAGCAAACAGGAUUAGAUACCCCANUAGUC